Molecule: long non-coding RNA, 711 nt
Organism: Cyprinus carpio carpio
Lineage: Eukaryota; Metazoa; Chordata; Actinopteri; Cypriniformes; Cyprinidae
Source: Ensembl
GUUGGUAGGGACAUCUGAGAAUAUAUGAUGAGUACCAACAUCUCUGAUGUGCAUGGUUCUGCCUGCAAUAUUUUGUUUAAUGUAACUUGCAAAGCCUUUGAGUGUUUCGCUCUCUCUCUGUCUCUUUCUCCAGUAUCCGGGGUAUUGAUUGAUUGAACGCGCGAGACGACUGGACUCUGGAGCGGAUCUGGAGAAGUGUGUCCAAGGAAUGUGGUGUGACUCUGGAACACCGUGUCAAAGGAACAUGUGCAGUGAAGUUGAUUUGAAAGGUUGUUUUAGAUCCUGGCACGAGCGAUGAAGAUGCCAUCAGCUGAGCACGCAUGAGUUCUGCAGGGGUGCAAGCAUCUCUGAAUGAGUUCUACAGGGGUGGAAGUGUUUACUUUAAUUCUGGCUGUGGAAAGAUCAGCAGCUGUCUGAAUGUUCUUCAGGGCAUGUGCUCAUUGACAGGUGCGGUGGUGACUGCUCCUUCAUGCUGUGUGAAUAUGAAUGCGGCAUGCACUUGUAAAGGAAGCACAAUAUCCAGGACGGCUCUGGAAAAACCAGAUUGUAUAAGGUGUGUUGCCUGCAUCCGACUCUUCUGAACUAUAUUCCAGAGCUUCGGUUCUUGUAUUGUUUUCUGAUUUGAAGUCACUUGUCUCUUUGCAGCAAUUAAGUGACAUUUAAAUGCCGUCAUCUACAUUUGUUAUAACUAGGCCAAGUUUGUAAAGUGUC